Manis javanica (Malayan pangolin) is the source of this 652-nucleotide non-coding RNA. The record is from RefSeq and is a predicted model, not a curated record. Lineage: Eukaryota; Metazoa; Chordata; Mammalia; Pholidota; Manidae.
GACACCCACUCAAAUGAUGCGGCGUAAGAAUGGUAACAAGCAUUUUUUCAAUUAUGGGCCACUUACACCCAAUAAGAAGUGACUCGGUUCUGAACAAUAGAAUACGACAAAGAUGAUGGAUGUCCCAAAGAGACUCUGCUUUUGCCUUGCUGUGUUCCCAUGCUCUUCUCAGGCUCUGAGGAAAAGCCAGCUACCCUAUGGAGAAGCCCACAUGGAGAGGAACCGGGGUCUCCAGCCUAUAGCCCCUGAGGCCCUGAGGUCUGCCAAUAGCCAUGUGAGCUCGCCUGGUUGCGGAUCUUAGCCUGGUUGAGCCCUGAGACCCCUGCAGCCCUGGCUACAAUCUUGAGGAGAUUCUGAGUCACAGGCACCAAGAGGAAACCAGCUAAGCUGUGCCCAGAUUUCUGACCAAUAGAAAUUGCACAGGUCUUGAAGACACUUAAGAAGCCCUCUGAGCAAGUGUAAAUAUUGAUGAACCUGUGUUUGCGGCCUGAUAACAGCCAGCACCGCCUUAACAGGCAGGAGAAUGAGAAUGAAAGCAGAUCAUCCGAGACUUCAGCUGACUGUCUCUCGACUGCAUCUUGGCUGCAAUGUCCUGAGCAGCCUGGAGCCAAAGCCACCAGAUCAAGCUUCUUCUGAAUUUCUGACUGAUGGA